CUCCAUGGGAGAGGGACCUUCGCCCGUCACAGCCUUCCCAGCUGGGAGAAGCAGUGCCGGCUCUGGUCCCGGAGUCCUAUCAGCCGAGCCUGUGGCGAAUUAAUCACUCGCAUUUUAAAUGCCAAUACAGCCCUUUCUGCCUUCUUCCCCCAGUGAUGCGGAUGCGGCGAAGGCAGCAAAUCCUCCGGCUGUGCGUGCCCUCCCCGGACUGCUGCUCCGUCCCCGCCUGUCGUGCUCGCCUGUGUGCGUGGCUGGGAGCGCUGCCUAGGUGCAGCCAGGAAUGAGACAGCUGUGGGGCAGGGGACAGCACAGCUCCAAGGGGUGACACAAGGUGGGGGGCAUAUUCCCCACCCCCCACCUCCCAACCCAGCCCCGCUUCCCCCCGAACACGCAUCCGCAGGGCUGCAAGUUGCUUGAAGAACAGGGGUCUUUUGUGCCUCCACUUCGUCUCUGUCAUGCCCCGUAUGGAAGCUGGGAGCAAUCGCCCCUCCAGAAGCAGAAGGCGAAGUCGUUCGCAAUGAAUCCAUGGCAGCUUCGAUCGAGCGGUGAGCCGGAGCACCUACUCACAGGCCGCUCCUGGAUGUGACUGAGGAGAGAGGCCUUUCCCAGCACUUGCCGAGGACGAGCAGAUCCCUGGAUUUACCUCCCGGGCACCCCCAGCACCAGCACGGCGAGAUUCCAGUGACAGAUGGAUCACUCUCGUGAGCACUUGCUCUUUCCCUCUCUGUAUUUUUGUUUUCGACAUGUUUGAUCUGAAGCUCUGAAGCUUCUCAGAGGGAACCUGGGAGAGAAGGAAGAGAAGCAGAAGGAACCGAGGCAGCGUGAGCAACAGAGGAGGCAUCUCUGCCUUGUU
Calidris pugnax (ruff) is the source of this 853-nucleotide long non-coding RNA. RefSeq lists it as uncharacterized. The transcript is spliced from 3 exons. The record is from RefSeq and is a predicted model, not a curated record. NCBI's taxonomy places the organism in Eukaryota, Metazoa, Chordata, Aves, Charadriiformes, Scolopacidae.